RNAcentral lists this long non-coding RNA (1409 nucleotides) under Pongo abelii (Sumatran orangutan). RNAcentral's name for it is "lincRNA". The record is from RNAcentral. Lineage: Eukaryota; Metazoa; Chordata; Mammalia; Primates; Hominidae.
GAGUGAUAGAGAAGACUGGCAGCUGCAGAGCAGGACAGACCAGAUUGGCCAGUACAACAGCAGAGGGCCAUAUUGGGCUUUGACUCAGGAAUCCUGGUGGAGGCAAUGAUGAGAGAGAAGAGAUGAAACACAGUAGGUUAAGCCAAGGUAGUUGUCAGGAUAGAAGGAGAGACAGGCAGGCCAGAUGGCUGUUAACCAUGUGGUAUGUCCCGACUUUCCAGCAUCAAUUUAAUGGCCAAAUUAAAAUCAGCAGAGCCAAGUGUUAGAGUUAUUGCUGCCUGAGUUAUAACAGCUGCCCUGGGAAUCUUGUCUGAACAACAAGUUAACUGCUGUUCCCAGUUAUAUCUGGUCUUUCCCACCCCCAAACAUACACAAAAGAUUUUUGUCAUUCUUGGCACUGGACAACAGAAGUGAUAAGACAUGCCAGCAGAACUCUAAAGGCAGAAUGUCCUUCCACCUGUUUUAUGCUGUAAGACAAACUUCCAAGUGCGAGGCAGUGUGGAGGGCUGUUUCCUUGAAUGGCAGCUGAAUGCACCAGCGGGAUCCUUGGCAGCAAUGCCCAGGCACUGAAGCUGGGCAUUCAGGAGAGCUAAAUGGAGAAAAGAAACUUGAGCAAACUGCUUCCUGGAACACUGAGAACCUGAAUGGGAAAUUAAGAAGAACCAGAUUAUUUCUAUUCUUCCACCAGCCAAGCAACUUCAGAAUGGGGGAAUCAAGCAAAACCAUGGUGAAGAGAUUCAUUUAACUAGGACAAGUGACUUAUUCUACAUCUCAGGAGACAGUUCCUUAAGGUGAUGAGCACAAAAGGAUCCAUCUUAUACAGUGCUUGCCAGCUUCCAUAAUACUACUCACCACGAUGUUGAAAUCACCUGUUCCAGAACCAAUCCUGUCCUUUGACAAGAAGGAUUUAAUUAUCAGUAGUGGUGGGGACUGGCUGGAGAGAGGAAAAACACUUCAAGGACUCUGCCACCAUUCCUAGAUGGAGAGUGAAAAGUUUUUACCAUGGAACUCUCUAACAGUUACUCUAUGGCAGUGCCUAUUUCAAACCUCCCUUAACUUCUGAUUGUAUAGAUGUUUGUUUCAUUUGUUCAUCUGUUUGUUCACUUAGAGAUGUUUUAAGCCUUAAGAGAGAUAGUGGACAAGACAAUGCCUUGGAAAAGUACAAAGCUCAAUCCAAGUAAACUGUUUUUAAACUAGGAACUUAUGAAGCCUAAAAUAUAAAAUGUAUGUACAUGGAUAUGCUCUGAAGUGAGGUGGAGGGGUAGAAAUCGACAUGGCGAUAUUGUACUACAGCUUUGCAAGAUGUUACCAUUGGGGGAAAAUGCUUGAAGGGUACACGGGAUAUCUCUGCCUUAUUUCUUACAACUGCAUGUGAAUCUACAGUUAUCUCAAAAUAAAAAUUUAUUUAA